Molecule: ribosomal RNA, 1503 nt
Filed under: uncultured rumen bacterium
Lineage: Bacteria
Description: bacterial SSU rRNA
Rfam family: Bacterial small subunit ribosomal RNA
Source: RNAcentral
AGAGUUUGAUCAUGGCUCAGGAUGAACGCUGGCGGCGUGCUUAACACAUGCAAGUCGAACGGAGGACCCUUGACGGAGUUUUCGGACAACAGAUAGGAAUCCUUAGUGGCGGACGGGUGAGUAACGCGUGAGGAACCUGCCUUGGAGAGGGGAAUAACACAGAGAAAUUUGUGCUAAUACCGCAUGACGCAGUUGGGUCGCAUGGCUCUGACUGCCAAAGAUUUAUCGCUCUGAGAUGGCCUCGCGUCUGAUUAGCUAGUUGGCGGGGUAACGGCCCACCAAGGCGACGAUCAGUAGCCGGACUGAGAGGUUGGCCGGCCACAUUGGGACUGAGACACGGCCCAGACUCCUACGGGAGGCAGCAGUGGGGAAUAUUGGGCAAUGGGCGCGAGCCUGACCCACCCAACGCCGCGUGAAGGAAGAAGGCUUUCGGGUUGUAAACUUCUUUUAUGUGGGACGAAACAAAUGACGGUACCACAUGAAUAAGCUCCGGCUAACUACGUGCCAGCAGCCGCGGUAAUACGUAGGGAGCAAGCGUUAUCCGGAUUUACUGGGUGUAAAGGGCGUGUAGGCGGGAAAGCAAGUCAGAUGUGAAAACUAUGGGCUCAACCCAUAGCCUGCAUUUGAAACUGUUUUUCUUGAGUACUGGAGAGGCAGGCGGAAUUCCGUGUGUAGCGGUGAAAUGCGUAGAUAUACGGAGKAACACCAGUGGCGAAGGCGGCCUGCUGGACAGCUACUGACGCUAAGGCGCGAAAGCGUGGGGGAGCAAACAGGAUUAGAUACCCUGGUAGUCCACGCUGUAAACGAUCGAUACUAGGUGUGGGGGGGACUGACCCCCCUCCGUGCCGCAGCAAACGCAAUAAGUAUCGCACCUGGGGAGUACGAUCGCAAGGUUGAAACUCAAAGGAAUUGACGGGGGCCCGCACAAGCGGUGGAGUAUGUGGUUUAAUUCGAAGCAACGCGAAAAACCUUACCAGGGCUUGAGAUCCAGAGGAAUGAUGGGUAAUGCCAUCAGCUCUUCGGAGCCUCUGAGACAGGUGGUGCAUGGUUGUCGUCAGCUCGUGUCGUGAGAUGUUGGGUUAAGUCCCGCAACGAGCGCAACCCUUGCCGAUAGUAACCGGCGAGUAGAGUCGGCGACUCUAUCGGGACUGCCGGGGACAACCCGGAGGAAGGUGGGGAUGACGUCAAAUCAUCAUGCCCCUUAUGUCCUGGGCGACACACGUGCUACAAUGGCGUAACAGAGGGACGCGAAGGAGCGAUCCGGAGCAAAUCCCAAAAACAACGUCCCAGUUCGGACUGCAGGCUGCAACCCGCCUGCACGAAGCUGGAAUCGCUAGUAAUCGCAAAUCAGCAUGUUGCGGUGAAUACGUUCCCGGGUCUUGUACACACCGCCCGUCACACCAUGGGAGUCGGGAAUGCCCGAAGUCGGUGACCUAACCGCAAGGAAGGAGCCGCCGAAGGCAGGCCGGAUGACUGGGGUGAAGUCGUAACAAGGUAACCGUA